Lagopus leucura (white-tailed ptarmigan) is the source of this 1493-nucleotide RNA transcript. It is a transcript of the gene named ubiquitin carboxyl-terminal hydrolase 48-like, with no coding region annotated. The record is from RefSeq and is a predicted model, not a curated record. The transcript has 3 exons. NCBI's taxonomy places the organism in Eukaryota, Metazoa, Chordata, Aves, Galliformes, Phasianidae.
GAUGCACUUCGGUCAAGUGGAGAGCAAACCUGGCAGCCUUGUAAGCAGCCUGAGGUCUGGCUUGACGUUUAAAGUGACAGAGGUCUGCUAUGACUAUGCUAUGAAGUGCCCUUAUUAGCCCAGAGGAUUGCAAAUUUCCGACCUGUAGAUUAUUUUGGAAGGCCGCUGGGUGGAGACUUCAAUGAUUAAAAUAACUUCAGUGCUUUCCAGUCUCCCGUGGGUGGCUCGGGUUGAGGGGCUGACUGCAGGGGUAACCUGUUCUCAAGAUCUUUCUUUCUGCCCCCCUUCCCCGGUCAGGAAGAAAAACUAGAAGGAGACAAUCCUCUUUUUUGUGAAACCUGUCAGAGUAAACAGAAUGCCACAAGGAAGAUCAGGCUGCUAAGACUUCCACGCACACUGAACCUGCAGCUGAUACGUUUAACGUUUGAUAGACAAACCGGCCAUAAGAAAAAGCUGAACACCUACAUUGGCUUCUCUGAGGUGCUCGACAUGAAGCCUUUUAUGGAACAACAAAAUGGUGCUUAUGUAUACAAACUGAGUGCUGUUCUCAUACACCGAGGUGUGAGUGCAUACUCAGGGCACUACAUCGCCCAUGUGAAGGACCCACAGACAGGAGAGUGGUACAAAUUCAACGACGAAGACACUGAGAAGAUGGAGGGCAAGAAACUGCAGCUGGGGAUUGAGGAAGAUCUAGGUAAAAUCUUUGAGUUGUGAGUGCCCUUUUAAAAUAACUCUUUUCAUGGAGGCUGAAUACGUGAAGGCCCUGAUGCUCCUAAAAACAAAAGUGCUCCUACACAUGCUGUCACAUCUUAGCAGUAAGGUGUGAAAUGGCAAUUCUGUUAAUUGCUGCCAGAUCUUCACUGCAGCCCCGUGCAAGUGUUUACGCGUGCCUCGUGAUCAUUCCCUUUCCUCUAGUAUUUCUCUUGCUGCCACAUAACGUGCAGAUAACACGCUGAUAAGUUGUGCUGCUAUCGGGGUGGAGCAGCUGCUUCCUUGGCCAGCGUGCAGGAGGAGGCUCAGGAGCAGAUAACAGCACGGUUGUCAGUUUCCUUAACGCGCUGUUUUCAUUUCCACGGUGUUGUUUUAAUCUUUGGCUGUAUUAGGAGGCGGCAGAGAGUUCAGACCAGUCUCGGUCCAAAAAAUCCAAGAUAGCCUUUUUCAGUUUGUGCUUUUUGCUUUUCCUUGUGCUGCUGUCACCUCGCCUCCUGCUGGUGUCCUCUUACAGCGCCAGUAACCCAUUCCCAAAACACUCUUCCACCUGGGUGCUUCUGCUGUGCUGCAUUUCCAGCACCAGUCAUUGGACUUGGUGAAACACUGCCUUUUUUUAAAGCAUCCUUAAACAACAGCUUAAUGAAGACGUGCCCUUAGGUUUGUGUCCAAAGCCUGAGUGCAGCCGUGGGAUGCUAGCCUGCCUCUCCUCUUGCCUAUGCAACACCUGCAGGACGCCACUUUAUUUUCAGCUCUCUUGCUAAUAAACACCUUCUUGCAUUUCA